CGCGUAGGCGGCACCAUAAGUCAGCUGUGAAAGUCCUGUGCUUAACAUGGGAAGUGCAGUUGAUACUGUGGAGCUUGAGUACGGGAGAGGAAAGCGGAAUUCCCAGUGUAGCGGUGAAAUGCGUAGAUAUUGGGAGGAACACCAGUGGCGAAGGCGACUUUCUGGACCGUAACUGACGCUGAGGCGCGAAAGCGUGGGGAGCAAACAGGAUUAGAUACCCUGGUAGUCCACGCUGUAAACGAUGGAUACAAGGUGUAGGAGGUAUCGACCCCUUCUGUGCCGGAGCUAACGCAGUAAGUAUCCCGCCUGGGGAGUACGGCCGCAAGGUUGAA
This 332-nucleotide ribosomal RNA is filed under the name uncultured bacterium. Its description in RNAcentral is "bacterial SSU rRNA". It matches the Rfam family "Bacterial small subunit ribosomal RNA", at positions 568 to 898 of the family's 1533-position model. The record is from RNAcentral.